This is a long non-coding RNA of Xiphophorus hellerii (green swordtail), 2970 nucleotides long. RefSeq lists it as uncharacterized. The transcript has 2 exons. Lineage: Eukaryota; Metazoa; Chordata; Actinopteri; Cyprinodontiformes; Poeciliidae. The record is from RefSeq and is a predicted model, not a curated record.
GUGGAGUCGCUGUAGUACUCAGCCUCACAAACUGGAAACACAUUAAAACGUUAAACAGGCUGCUGCUGCCAUCAGCGUUCUGUAACGGGGUCAGAGGUCAACAAACUCAGAGGUCAACAUUAAAUCUCUACUUUCUGUCUCAUAGUUAGUGGAACAAUUAUCUCAAUAUUAAAACUAUAAACUAAUAAAACAUUCAUCCAACCAACCAACCUACAUUCAUAUGUUUGUUCAUCCAUCCAUCCAUCCAUCCAUCCAUCCAUCCAUCCAUCCAUCCAACCAUUUAUCUGUUGCAUUUAUCUCUUGACAUUUUAGGAUAAAGAACUUGUUUAAGCAUUUAUAGUUGAACUUUUACCACCAGAGAUGAUCUAUUAAUGUUUUCUCUUGUUUUUUUAGUUUUCUAUAGGUGCAUGUGUAUAAGCUAUUUUCCAGCAGCCUGCAGCAGAGUCUGUGGGGAGUUUGUGAAUUCUCUGGCUUCACAUAAACUCUGUGCAUGUUUCCAUUUUAUUGUAAAACAGAGUUACUGCUGUUGUCUGAGAGAGACGGGUAAAAAGAAAUCCCGCUAGACCAAACAGCCCAGAUAAACAGACCGAGUGAUUCUUGGUCUUAAUUUAGCUACUUCGGUUUAAACUCCUUUAGUUUUCAUUUGCUUUUGCUUCAACUGAGGCUAAACUAAAUUAGUUUUGUGUCGCCCAGAGAUUUUCCAAAGCCACACAUGUAACCAAUCUGCUUUGGCAGAUUUUCUAAAAAUCCUUCUUGCACACAUUUCAUGCAGCCUUUUUCUCCUCCUAUGCCCUUCGCUCAUUUCUCUCUUUCUAAAAUUUCAAACAGAGAAAAAGUGAAACAGUGGUAUUUUUCAACUUAACACACAUUGUUCUGGUCCACAGCUGAGUAGAUAAAACAGUUUAAAGCUGAUAUUUUGAACAACUGCACCAUUUUCUCAUUGAUAUCACAUCAGACUAAACCUUUCUUGUCCUACGACUACCAACGAUUUUUAUAAUUGAAGGAGAAAAUCUUCUUGAAAACCUUCAAAUUCAGAUUAGGGCUGAAUAUGGCAGAAAAACGUAUCUUGAUAUAAACAUUUCAUAUCAGUGAAUAUCAAUAAUUGUUUAGUUUUUUGUUUUAAAUAUCUGAAGUAUUUCCAAACUGGUGGCGCUACCCUCCCUGUUUUAUCCAGUUUUCACUCCACGCCGCUGUUUUCUUAUUCUUAAGCAGUUAUGAGCAGUAGUUAUGAACUACUGUGAAAGUUACUCAAUAGGUCGUUGCUAGGUAACCAAAGGGUGCGAGAGUUGCUAGGUAACCACAGAAUGAAUGAGUUGAUUCCACCAACUGAGCUUAACUGAAUACAGACGUAUUAUUGAUCCGUUGCGAUAUCUAUUGCUAUUGAUUUAUUGUCCAUUAUUGUUCAUUAAGAAGUUUACAAACAUUUAAUUAUCUCUCAGGUUUGGUGAGCUUCUCACAGGUUAAUGAGUUCUAGUUAAAUGAAGAUACAGAGUUAAAACUUUCCUGACAGAAACACAGUCCUGAAAACCUCUCUCUGUUUUCUAAUGUGUGGUCCAGGUUUGUUACAGACAUGCGUAGCAUCAACAUUUGACAAAGUUAAGUUUUGGGUUGCCUGGUUGAAACCAGUCAUGGUUGACCUGCCAUAAUAAUUAAUCACAUGAUCAAUUAAAACAAACUCAAUAAUGAGUGAUUUAACAUUUUUCUCUUUUCUCUCUCUCCUUCUACCAAAAAAUUGGAUGAUACAAAUCUUCAGUCUGCUGUUUUGGUCUCAACCAGCUGAAUUUUUAAGGAACAUUUUGUUCAUAAUCUAUUUUAUUUAUUGUUUCUGUUUUGUUUAUUUAGUUUGGAUAUUUAAAAUGUCUUCCAGUGUCAGUUUUAAAUGUUCAUUAGAAUUUAAAGUUUAUUGAUCUUUGAGUUGUUGAAUUAUUUAUGCCAAUACCAUUAUAGUACUUGAAAAUGGUUCCAAACAAUAUUAUUGAUUAUCGCAAUAACUUCUGUAACAAUGUCAUUGUGACAGGCCUAGUAGAUGUAAACAUGCCUAAAUUUCACUUUUUCUCUUUUUUGUGACAUUUUAAAAGUUUUCUCACAAUUUGCAUGACAUUUGGAAGGAAUCAUAGCAAUUAAAAACUGUGGUUUCAGCAUCAUCAGAUCAAAAUGCUAGCAGAUGUAAGUCCAGUGGAAGGCGGUUCUCCAGAGUAUGAAGGCGAAGCGUUAUUUUCUCUUCCAUGUCUCAGUUAUGGAUUAGUUUGUGUUGUUUGGCCACCAAAAGCCCAGUAAACAUAAAUUAAAGCCCGUUUCCUCCCACUGCUGCUGGUUGCGUCAGAGCGGAUGAACAGCAGGUGGCGCUGAUUCUCCAGUGGAAACGCACUGGAGCAGGUGGGUGAAAAACCACAGAUCACCCACAGAUCAUUAACAGAGAUGUUUUAGGAGUGAACACACAGAGAGGGACAGUGAUGAGAAAACCCUUCAGCUUGAGUCUGAUGGGAAAGCUGCUCCCUCAGGACCCUCCUCAUCCUCCCUCACAUCCAUCAGCCGCUCCAGAGACCCUCAGAGACGUUCCUGGGAAAAAGAUUCCUCUCUUCGUCGGAGCUUCACAUCAUAACUCUAGUAGAUUAAGCCCACGGUAGUGACUGAUAAGGCCUCAGAGAGGCAGUUAAAAGUGUUCCUCCUCCUGACAAACAGGAUUUAUUCGGCUUUUAUCUGGAUUUUACUGUCCGUUAAUGUGAAUAAACAAAACAUAUUGUUGCUGAUGACUCUUUUAAUGGUGAAAAUCAAGGUUCAGGAACUGCAUUAGAUGUAGAAACAUUUACGUGUGUGAUUCAUUGUGACAGUUUUAAAAGGUGCAUUUGAAGGGUCAGUAUAUUAGUCAGCCGGUGAUUAACCUUAAAGGGCAAAAAUUCACGUUUUGCACGUUUUCGUACUUCCAUUUUGGUCUCUACUGCUUAUAUUAAAAAAAAGGCCAAGCGCUUA